This 472-nucleotide ribosomal RNA is filed under the name uncultured bacterium. Its description in RNAcentral is "bacterial SSU rRNA". It matches the Rfam family "Bacterial small subunit ribosomal RNA", at positions 355 to 825 of the family's 1533-position model. The record is from RNAcentral.
UGGGGAAUAUUGGACAAUGGGCGCAAGCCUGAUCCAGCGACGCCGCGUGUGUGAAGAAGGCCUGCGGGUUGUAAAGCACUUUCGGUGGGAACGAAAUAUGCCGGGCUAAUACCCCGGUAGGCUGACGUUACUCAAUGAAGAAGCACCGGCUAACUCUGUGCCAGCAGCCGCGGUAAUACAGAGGGUGCGAGCGUUAAUCGGAAUUACUGGGCGUAAAGCGCACGUAGGUGGCGACGUAAGUCGGGUGUGAAAGCCCCGGGCUCAACCUGGGAACCGCAUUCGAGACUGCGUUGCUGGAGUACGGAAGAGGAGGGCGGAAUUCCCGGUGUAACGGUGAAAUGCGUAGAUAUCGGGAGGAACAUCAGUGGCGAAGGCGGCCCUCUGGUCCAGUACUGACACUCAAGUGCGAAAGCGUGGGGAGCAAACAGGAUUAGAUACCCGCGUAGUCCCUGAGCGGGCUGGCAAGGCGCAU